UUCAACCCCUUCAUACUUUCCCUGUUUUUUCGUCUGUCUUAACAGAAACCGAUAAAACUAAACAUGUCAACUUACAUUCCCAUUUGGCUUUAAGUUCCAGAUCGACAAAGAACGAAUUAAUCUGUGCAGUAAUCCAAUGGGAUAAAUUCAUCAUUUUUCGUGGGGAUAAUAUUAAAUAUUUCCACAAGUUAUCCGACUAUUUGUUCUGAAAUCGAUGAACAAUUUGUCGCCAAAGAAAACUUGUUUUUUAAUUAGCGUACGAGCCUGAACUUGGUCGUGAUCUGGUCAUGAUUCAUUUGACAUUUAGUGUUUUUGAACAUAACACAUUUUGCAAUUGCAGUCACAGCUAAAUGAUUGCUUUAGUUGUAUUUAUUUCUUUAGUCAUAAUUUUUUAGUGGACGAUCAGAUCGCCAUCGACAGUAGUUUGACAUUAGUAGACUGUGAAAUCUCUUCUUCUAGCAUGUAGCCAGUGAAUUGAAACUUGGUGCCGCCCUCUAUGUAAACACCUGGCGACAUGCCCUGCGGGAGAAUCAUCAAAAUGAUGUCAUCCCCAGCUGCCAAAUCGAUUUUCUAAAUUUUCUAAUUCUAUUCUACAGGCAAUUUGACCAAAGUAGAGGAGGACUUUAAUGAAAAAAUGCAAAACAUUUUCGUUGGGGCCGCUGAAAAGGCAUUCAAUGCCAUUGUGGACCAUUCAAGUCCAAGUCAACUCCUCUACUGUAUUUUGGCUGUUGCUGCGCUCGCUUUGGUUGGCCAUACCAAAAAAUUUUGCUUGAAGUGGCUAAAGAAAGGAUGGAGUUUUGCCUGUGGUUGUUGUCGUUGUCGUCGUCGUCGUUCCCCACGAAUUGCCCCCCAAAAUCCACAAGCGGACGAAGAGGAAAUGCAGCCGCUGCCGCCGCAGCAAAAUGAUUUACCGGUGGGAGUGGCUGUGAUCCCGCACCCACAAACCCUUGCACAAACCGCUCCGAUCGCUGAGCAGCCACUGAUGGAACGGGAAGAGGCUCCAACGCCAAUUCCCACGGCCUUCGAAUUUGUUAACGAAGCGAACCAAUUCAUAGAUGCCCGCAGAACUAAGGCUACAGAGACCGACGGUGAGUCGUAUUUUUUUGUAUCUCCCCCAGAUGUACAAAAAGCUAAUAUAGUUACUAUUUCCCAACGCAUUUAAAAAAAUUUGGACUGAGAAUUAAAAAUUCUGCUAUUCUCCCUGCUGUACCCCUUUUUCUGUCCGGCUAUGUUAAUCGGAUUAUUUAUUGAUGAAGUGAAAUACACCUAUGUUGAGCUUAA
Long non-coding RNA from Daphnia pulex (common water flea), 1281 nucleotides. RefSeq lists it as uncharacterized. Lineage: Eukaryota; Metazoa; Arthropoda; Branchiopoda; Diplostraca; Daphniidae. The record is from RefSeq and is a predicted model, not a curated record. The transcript is spliced from 2 exons.